GACGAACGCUGGCGGCGUGCCUAAUACAUGCAAGUAGAACGCUGAAGAGAGGAGCUUGCUCUUCUUGGAUGAGUUGCGAACGGGUGAGUAACGCGUAGGUAACCUGCCUUGUAGCGGGGGAUAACUAUUGGAAACGAUAGCUAAUACCGCAUAACAAUGGAUGACACAUGUCAUUUAUUUGAAAGGGGCAAUUGCUCCACUACAAGAUGGACCUGCGUUGUAUUAGCUAGUAGGUGAGGGAAUGGCUCACCUAGGCGACGAUACAUCGCCGACCUGAGAGGGUGCUCGGCCACACUGGGACUGAGACACGGCCCAGACUCCUACGGGAGGCAGCCGUAGGGAAUCUUCGGCAAUGGGGGCAACCCUGAACGAGCAACGCCGCGUGAGUGAAGAAGGUUUUCGGAUCGUAAAGCUCUGUUGUAAGUCAAGAACGGGUGUGAGAGUGGAAAGUUCACACUGUGACGGUAGCUUACCAGAAAGGGACGGCUAACUACGUG
This 497-nucleotide ribosomal RNA is filed under the name uncultured bacterium. RNAcentral describes it as "partial 16S ribosomal RNA". It matches the Rfam family "Bacterial small subunit ribosomal RNA", at positions 28 to 507 of the family's 1533-position model. The record is from RNAcentral.